Molecule: ribosomal RNA, 501 nt
Filed under: uncultured bacterium
Lineage: Bacteria
Description: partial 16S ribosomal RNA
Rfam family: Bacterial small subunit ribosomal RNA
Source: RNAcentral
AUUGAACGCUGGCGGCAUGCCUUACACAUGCAAGUCGAACGGCAGCGCGGGGGCAACCCUGGUGGCGAGUGGCGAACGGGUGAGUAAUACAUCGGAACGUGUCCUUUUGUGGGGGAUAACCAGUCAAAAGACUGGCUAAUACCGCAUGAGAUCUAACGAUGAAAGCGAGGGACCGCAAGGCCUCGCGCGAUUGGAGCGGACGAUGUCGGAUUAGCUAGUUGGCGGGGUAAAAGCCCACCAAGGCGACGAUCCGUAGCUGGUUUGAGGAGAACGACCAGCCACACUGGGACUGAGACACGGCCCAGACUCCUACGGGAGGCAGCAGUGGGGAAUUUUGGACAAUGGGCGCAAGCCUGAUCCAGCCAUGCCGCGUGUGUGAAGAAGGCCUUCGGGUUGUAAAGCACUUUCGGCCGGAACGAAAUCGCGCGGGUUAAUAGUCCGCGUGGAUGACGGUACCGGAAGAAGAAGCACCGGCUAACUACGUGCCAGCAGCCGCAGUAA